This 497-nucleotide ribosomal RNA is filed under the name uncultured bacterium. Its description in RNAcentral is "partial 16S ribosomal RNA". It matches the Rfam family "Bacterial small subunit ribosomal RNA", at positions 28 to 507 of the family's 1533-position model. The record is from RNAcentral.
GAUGAACGCUGGCGGCGUGCCUAAUACAUGCAAGUCGAGCGAACAGGCGAGGAGCUUGCUCCUCUGACGUUAGCGGCGGACGGGUGAGUAACACGUGGAUAACCUACCUAUAAGACUGGGAUAACUUCGGGAAACCGGAGCUAAUACCGGAUAACAUGUUGAACCGCAUGGUUUAACAGUGAAAGACGGUCUUGCUGUCACUUAUAGAUGGAUCCGCGCCGCAUUAGCUAGUUGGUAAGGUAACGGCUUACCAAGGCAACGAUGCGUAGCCGACCUGAGAGGGUGAUCGGCCACACUGGAACUGAGACACGGUCCAGACUCCUACGGGAGGCAGCAGUAGGGAAUCUUCCGCAAUGGGCGAAAGCCUGACGGAGCAACGCCGCGUGAGUGAAGAAGGUCUUCGGAUCGUAAAACUCUGUUAUUAGGGAAGAACAAAUGUGUAAGUAACUAUGCACGUCUUGACGGUACCUAAUCAGAAAGCCACGGCUAACUACGUG